UCUGNUCUGUAACUGACGCUGAGGCUNGAAAGCGUGGGGAGCGAACAGGAUUAGAUACCCUGGUAGUNCACGCCGUAAACGAUGAGUGCUAGGUGUUAGGCCCUUUCCGGGGCUUAGUGCCGCAGCUAACGCAUUAAGCACUCCGCCUGGGGAGUACGACCGCAAGGUUGAAACUCAAAGGAAUUGACGGGGGCCCGCACAAGCGGUGGAGCAUGUGGUUUAAUUCGAAGCAACGCGAAGAACCUUACCAGGUCUUGACAUCCCGAUGCCCGCUCUAGAGAUAGAGUUUUACUUCGGUACAUCGGUGACAGGUGGUGCAUGGUUGUCGUCAGCUCGUGUCGUGAGAUGUUGGGUUAAGUCCCGCAACGAGCGCAACCCUUAUUGUUAGUUGCCAUCAUUCAGUUGGGCACUCUAGCGAGACUGCCGGUAAUAAACCGGAGGAAGGUGGGGAUGACGUCAAAUCAUCAUGCCCCUUAUGACCUGGGCUACACACGUGCUACAAUGGCUGGUACAACGAGUCGCAAGUCGGUGACGGCAAGCUAAUCUCUUAAAGCCAGUCUCAGUUCGGAUUGUAGGCUGCAACUCGCCUACAUGAAGUCGGAAUCGCUAGUAAUCGCGGAUCAGCACGCCGCGGUGAAUACGUUCCCGGGCCUUGUACACACCGCCCGUCACACCACGAGAGUUUGUAACACCCGAAGUCGGUGAGGUAACCUUUUAGGA
This 720-nucleotide ribosomal RNA is filed under the name uncultured bacterium. RNAcentral's name for it is "bacterial SSU rRNA". It matches the Rfam family "Bacterial small subunit ribosomal RNA", at positions 728 to 1447 of the family's 1533-position model. The record is from RNAcentral.